GCAGAUCAUUCUAAUAAGCUAUUUAAUUACAGCUAGAGAAGCCUAUUUAGAGCACUCCUGACUGUUAGAAACAAGUCCAUGUGGGGAAAAAUAAGAGAUCCUGAAGUAUCUCUGGUGGCUGAAUGCCUGCAGGCUCUGGAAGCAAACUCUGGAGUAAGGAAAUUCUUACUGCAAUCAUCUGCCCAAACUGUGCCAGAAGGAGCCAGUGCUCGAGGACAGCUGCUGGAGUGCAGUUGGCAUCCCAGGAUGGGAGCUCCUGGUGAGGAACAGGAGCAGGUCAGAUACUGGAGAUACAGUGGGCUGUGA
This 306-nucleotide long non-coding RNA is filed under the name Zonotrichia albicollis (white-throated sparrow). RNAcentral's name for it is "lncRNA (ENSZALG00000014583.1)". Lineage: Eukaryota; Metazoa; Chordata; Aves; Passeriformes; Passerellidae. The record is from RNAcentral.